ACCGGAGUUGUAAUUGUGCGGUCAUAUAGAAAACAUAACACAUUUUCUUCCCUCCGAGCAAAACAAAUAAGAACCCUAGAAAUACAAAACUGGUUGUAUGACACCAACUCUCUGUAAACCUUACUCGGACGUGUAAAUCGUUCAUUUCAAUUUCAAGGUAUUUUCUCAACUUUUCAUUUUCCAAUUGUAAUCUAAAUCUACCACCACUUUACUCAGAUUUUAUUUAUUUUGUUCUCAUAUUUGUGUUCAUUUCAAUAUUGAUGUUUAAUUUAGCGCAUGAUAUAAUGAUUCCACCCAACACCAAGAGAGCAAAGCAUGAUGAUAAUGAUAAUGAAGAAGAUAGACUCAGUGACUUACCCGAUUGUGUUCUCCUUCAUAUUUUGUCAUUUUUGAAAUCCAAAUGUGCCGUUCAAACUUGCAUUUUGUCCCCAAGAUGGAAGAAUCUUUGGAAAUAUAUUCCUACCCUUAUAUUGCAUUCCUCUGAAUUUAGAACCGCAAAGAAAUUAGGCAUGUUUGUGACUAAGAUUUUGACUCUUCGUGAUACAUCAACUGCACUGCACGCUCUCGAUUUUAAGCGUAUAGCCAGUUUUGAGCCUCAACGGACUCUCAAAGAGAUUGUGAACUAUGUUUGUUCCCAUGAUACCCAGCUCAAGCAAUUAAGAAUCUCCGUUAAAGGUGAUAUUAGUAUCAUUUUGCCUCGCAUUUCUUCAUGUCAGGCUCUUACAUCUCUUAAGCUCUCUGUUUAUGGUAAAGGUGUAUCUAAUUGUGAAAGAACAUUAUUUCCAAAACACCUGAAUUUUCCAGCAUUGACUAGCUUGGAUCUAUCUAAUUUUGCCUUUUGCGCAAAUGACAAUGCUGAUCAUGCCGAACCAUUUUCAUCCUUUAGCAGACUGAAUAAUUUGAUCAUUUCUAGAUGUAGCGUAAGGGAUGCUUCAAUUCUAACCAUAUCAAGUGCGACCAUUGUACAUUUAACUAUGUGUAGUAAUAGCUCAUCUGACUUUACCAAAAUCGAGCUAUCCGCUCCAAGUCUUGAUACCAUUACUUUUUAUGGUACUCCUAGUCAGAGACUGUAUGGAAGCAGUCUUUCUUCAGUUAAACAAGUAAAUAUUGAUGAAGACAUAUUUAUAAGAAUUGGGGAGCCUCAUUUGAUUCUAUUAAGCUGGCUGCAAGACCUGGAUAAUAUAAAAN
Molecule: long non-coding RNA, 1188 nt
Filed under: Trifolium pratense (red clover)
Lineage: Eukaryota; Viridiplantae; Streptophyta; Magnoliopsida; Fabales; Fabaceae
Description: long non-coding RNA (TPRA_LNC008528)
Source: RNAcentral